CGUGUCGGCUGAAUCAGAGAUUGGCUGGCACAUACUAUAAACACACUCUAUUAGGAGAGUUAUUAUGUCUCUGAGCGUAGAAAAGAAAGCUCAAAUCGUUGCUGAUUUCGCACGUGGCGAA
This 121-nucleotide non-coding RNA is filed under the name Vibrio stylophorae. Its description in RNAcentral is "S15". It matches the Rfam family "Ribosomal S15 leader". From Rfam's summary of the family: The E. coli Ribosomal S15 gene 5' UTR can form two alternative structures. Lineage: Bacteria; Pseudomonadati; Pseudomonadota; Gammaproteobacteria; Vibrionales; Vibrionaceae. The record is from RNAcentral.